GACGAACGCUGGCGGCGUGCUUAACACAUGCAAGUCGAACGGAAAGGCCCUGCUUGCAGGGUACUCGAGUGGCGAACGGGUGAGUAACACGUGGGUGAUCUGCCCUGCACUUCGGGAUAAGCCUGGGAAACUGGGUCUAAUACCGGAUAGGAGCCAUUUUUAGUGUGAUGGUUGGAAAGUUUUUUCGGUGUAGGAUGAGCUCGCGGCCUAUCAGCUUGUUGGUGGGGUAAUGGCCUACCAAGGCGGCGACGGGUAGCCGGCCUGAGAGGGUGGACGGCCAAAUGGGGACUGAGAUACGGCCCAAACCCCUAGGGGGGGCAGCAGGGGGGAAUUUUGACAAAUGGGCGAAAGCCUGAUGCAGGGGCGCCCGGGGGGGGGUGACGGCCUUCGGGUUUUAAACUCCUUUCCCAAGGGAAGAAGCUUUUUGUGACGGUACCUAGAUAAGAAGCACCGGCAAACUACGU
This 464-nucleotide ribosomal RNA is filed under the name uncultured bacterium. RNAcentral's name for it is "partial 16S ribosomal RNA". It matches the Rfam family "Bacterial small subunit ribosomal RNA", at positions 28 to 506 of the family's 1533-position model. The record is from RNAcentral.